AACGCACAUUGCGCCCGCCAGCACUCUGGCGGGCAUGCCUGUCCGAGCGCCAUACAGCACCCGUCAAGCCCUGCUUGUGCUGGGGCCCUGCGGGGAGGGUGGCCCGCAGGCCCCGAAAUACAGUGGCGGGACCGCCGCCGCGCCGGGCGUGAUAGUAGCCUCGCCCCGGGGCGCGCGGCGGCCUCCGGCCGUUUGGGACCGCUAUGAGGGCGCGCGGUAGCGCCAAGGACCGUUGGCCUCGGAUCAGGUAGGAAUACCCGCUGAACUUAA
This 270-nucleotide unclassified non-coding RNA is filed under the name uncultured fungus. RNAcentral's name for it is "sequence contains ITS2". The record is from RNAcentral. Lineage: Eukaryota; Fungi.